UGCAGAGGUCUCAAGCGUUGUUCGGAUUCAUUGGGCGUAAAGGGCGCGUAGGCGGCGGGGUAAGUCGGGUGUGAAAUCUCAGAGCUCAACUCUGAAACUGCACUCGAUACUGCUCUGCUUGAGGACUGGAGAGGAGACUGGAAUUCACGGUGUAGCAGUGAAAUGCGUAGAUAUCGUGAGGAAGACCAGUGGCGAAGGCGGGUCUCUGGGCAGUUCCUGACGCUGAGGCGCGAAGGCCAGGGGAGCAAACGGG
This 253-nucleotide ribosomal RNA is filed under the name uncultured bacterium. RNAcentral's name for it is "partial 16S ribosomal RNA". It matches the Rfam family "Bacterial small subunit ribosomal RNA", at positions 524 to 776 of the family's 1533-position model. The record is from RNAcentral.